RNAcentral lists this unclassified non-coding RNA (352 nucleotides) under Hevea brasiliensis (rubber tree). The record is from RNAcentral. Lineage: Eukaryota; Viridiplantae; Streptophyta; Magnoliopsida; Malpighiales; Euphorbiaceae.
GCGGUGUCCGUCGUGGCCACCGGCCUCGCCGGUAUCUUCGCGACGAUCCUGUUCCGCUCGCAGUUCGGGCUCACAAGCCUCGCGGUGCGCGAAAACAAUCUUCGCGUCGAGUAUCUCGGCACCUCCGCGAACCGCAUUGUCACCAUCAACUUCGUGAUCGCCGCGACCUUCGCAGGUGCCAGCGGCGCGCUCGCGCUGAUGGCGCAGCGGCACAUCGAUCCGGAAUUCGCCUACUGGACCACGUCCGGCGAGUUCGUUUUCAUCGCUGUCCUUGCGGGCACGCAAAGCGUUGCCGCUGUGUUCAUUUCGGCGCUUGUGCUCGAGCUGGUGCGCUCGUUCUCCAAUCUCUAUA